This 368-nucleotide unclassified non-coding RNA is filed under the name fungal sp. RNAcentral's name for it is "partial internal transcribed spacer region". The stretch from base 1 to 46 matches the Rfam family "Eukaryotic small subunit ribosomal RNA", at positions 1786 to 1831 of the family's 1831-position model. Lineage: Eukaryota; Fungi. The record is from RNAcentral.
AAGUCGUAACAAGGUAACCGUAGGUGAACCUGCGGUUGGAUCAUUAAAAAUGGGAGGGCUGUGGAGGGUAGACUAGUUGGGUGCAAGCCCAAGUAGUCUGCCCUGCGACGGCCCUCGACUAGGGCACUCUCGGGUGCUCUGGGAAACCCAUGUGAACUGGAAUGUACUUGGGGGGAUGAGGAGAGUGGCAAGCAAGAGGAGAGGGGGUUAGGUGGUGCGCACGCUGGCUAGUUGCUAGUUGGCGCUCCACCCCGCCUAACCUCCUUCUUGGCCCACUUGUUUCUUCCCCCAACCACUACACCUAUGUAUACCCACUGAAUCAUAGAGACAAUGAGAAACAACUUUUGACAACGGAUCUCUUGGCUCUC